Molecule: ribosomal RNA, 253 nt
Filed under: uncultured bacterium
Lineage: Bacteria
Description: partial 16S ribosomal RNA
Rfam family: Bacterial small subunit ribosomal RNA
Source: RNAcentral
GACAAACCGUCCAAACGUUGUUCGGAAUCACUGGGCUUAAAGGGCGCGUAGGCGGGUUGGCAAGUCUGUGGUGAAAUCCUCCAGCUUAACUGGAGAAGUGCCGUGGAUACUGCGAAUCUUGAGGAGGGUAGGGGCGUCUGGAACGGUCGGUGGAGCGGUGAAAUGCGUUGAUAUCGACCGGAACUCCGGUGGCGAAGGCGAGGCGCUGGACCCUUUCUGACGCUGAGGCGCGAAAGCCAGGGGAGCAAACGGG